CUAAAAGUGUUGAUAAGGACAUGAGCAUGAUGAACGGACUUCAUAGAGAGGGAGGCCAAGGCUGUAAGCUUCCUAAGUGCCGCAUAAUGUUUACCACCUUUGAACUCUGCGUGCGAACCUUUAAGUAGUGUGCAGCGGCUCGUCCCCGUUAACGGAUUUGAAUGAGCUACAGGAUACCUGUAGGAAUUUGGGUGGAACCACGAGUAUAACGCUCGUCCCUUCG
This 223-nucleotide non-coding RNA is filed under the name Pontibacillus halophilus. RNAcentral's name for it is "T-box sequence". It matches the Rfam family "T-box leader". Rfam says of the family: Uncharged tRNA acts as the effector for transcription antitermination of genes in the T-box leader family. T-boxes are found upstream of many aminoacyl-tRNA synthetase genes and some amino acid biosynthetic genes usually in Gram-positive bacteria. The anticodon of a specific tRNA base pairs to a specifier sequence within the T-box motif, and the NCCA acceptor tail of the tRNA base pairs to a conserved bulge in the T-box antiterminator hairpin. Lineage: Bacteria; Bacillati; Bacillota; Bacilli; Caryophanales; Bacillaceae. The record is from RNAcentral.